This 1167-nucleotide ribosomal RNA is filed under the name Lactiplantibacillus plantarum. RNAcentral's name for it is "bacterial SSU rRNA". Lineage: Bacteria; Bacillati; Bacillota; Bacilli; Lactobacillales; Lactobacillaceae. The record is from RNAcentral.
UUGGUGCUUGCAUCAUGAUUUACAUUUGAGUGAGUGGCGAACUGGUGAGUAACACGUGGGAAACCUGCCCAGAAGCGGGGGAUAACACCUGGAAACAGAUGCUAAUACCGCAUAACAACUUGGACCGCAUGGUCCGAGYUUGAAAGAUGGCUUCGGCUAUCACUUUUGGAUGGUCCCGCGGCGUAUUAGCUAGAUGGUGRGGUAACGGCUCACCAUGGCAAUGAUACGUAGCCGACCUGAGAGGGUAAUCGGCCACAUUGGGACUGAGACACGGCCCAAACUCCUACGGGAGGCAGCAGUAGGGAAUCUUCCACAAUGGACGAAAGUCUGAUGGAGCAACGCCGCGUGAGUGAAGAAGGGUUUCGGCUCGUAAAACUCUGUUGUUAAAGAAGAACAUAUCUGAGAGUAACUGUUCAGGUAUUGACGGUAUUUAACCAGAAAGCCACGGCUAACUACGUGCCAGCAGCCGCGGUAAUACGUAGGUGGCAAGCGUUGUCCGGAUUUAUUGGGCGUAAAGCGAGCGCAGGCGGUUUUUUAAGUCUGAUGUGAAAGCCUUCGGCUCAACCGAAGAAGUGCAUCGGAAACUGGGAAACUUGAGUGCAGAAGAGGACAGUGGAACUCCAUGUGUAGCGGUGAAAUGCGUAGAUAUAUGGAAGAACACCAGUGGCGAAGGCGGCUGUCUGGUCUGUAACUGACGCUGAGGCUCGAAAGUAUGGGUAGCAAACAGGAUUAGAUACCCUGGUAGUCCAUACCGUAAACGAUGAAUGCUAAGUGUUGGAGGGUUUCCGCCCUUCAGUGCUGCAGCUAACGCAUUAAGCAUUCCGCCUGGGGAGUACGGCCGCAAGGCUGAAACUCAAAGGAAUUGACGGGGGCCCGCACAAGCGGUGGAGCAUGUGGUUUAAUUCGAAGCUACGCGAAGAACCUUACCAGGUCUUGACAUACUAUGCAAAUCUAAGAGAUUAGACGUUCCCUUCGGGGACAUGGAUACAGGUGGUGCAUGGUUGUCGUCAGCUCGUGUCGUGAGAUGUUGGGUUAAGUCCCGCAACGAGCGCAACCCUUAUUAUCAGUUGCCAGCAUUAAGUUGGGCMCUCUGGUGARACUGCCGGUGACAAACCGGAGGAAGGUGGGGAUGACGUCAAAUCAUCAUGCCCCUAUGACCUGGGCUAC